This 74-nucleotide transfer RNA is filed under the name Candidatus Izimoplasma sp. HR2. RNAcentral's name for it is "Candidatus Izimaplasma sp. HR2 tRNA". It matches the Rfam family "tRNA". Rfam says of the family: Transfer RNA (tRNA) molecules are approximately 80 nucleotides in length. Lineage: Bacteria; Bacillati; Mycoplasmatota; Mollicutes; Candidatus Izemoplasmatales; Candidatus Izemoplasmataceae. The record is from Rfam by way of RNAcentral.
GCCGCUUUAGCUCCAACAGGUAGAGCAAUAGCAUGGUAAGCUAGAGGUUCCGAGUUCGAAUCCCGGAAGCGGCA